GAUGAACGCUAGCUACAGGCUUAACACAUGCAAGUCGAGGGGAAACGAUGAGAGAGCUUGCUCUCUUAGUCGUCGACCGGCGCACGGGUGAGUAGCGCGUAUCCAACCUGCCUCUGACCAAGGGAUAACCCGUCGAAAGUCGGACUAAUACCUUAUGCAGUCGUCGGAAGUCAUCUGAUGACGACGAAAGAUUUCAUCGGUGAGAGAUGGGGAUGCGUCUGAUUAGCUUGUUGGCGGGGUAACGACCCACCAAGGCGACGAUCAGUAGGGGUUCUGAGAGGAAGGUCCCCCACAUUGGAACUGAGACACGGUCCAAACUCCUACGGGAGGCAGCAGUGAGGAAUAUUGGUCAAUGGGCGUAAGCCUGAACCAGCCAAGUAGCGUGCAGGAUGACGGCCCUAUGGGUUGUAAACUGCUUUUAUGCGGGGAUAAAGUGAGGGACGUGUCCUUCAUUGCAGGUACCGCAUGAAUAAGGACCGGCUAAUUCCGUG
Molecule: ribosomal RNA, 491 nt
Filed under: uncultured bacterium
Lineage: Bacteria
Description: partial 16S ribosomal RNA
Rfam family: Bacterial small subunit ribosomal RNA
Source: RNAcentral